UACGUAGGGGGCGAGCGUUGUCCGGAAUUACUGGGCGUAAAGAGAGCGUAGGCGGCACUACAAGUCUCAUGUGAAAUACCCGGGCUUAACUUGGGGGUUGCAUGGGAAACUGUAGAGCUUGAGUACAGGAGAGGCAAGCGGAAUUCCGAGUGUAGCGGUGAAAUGCAUAGAUAUUAGGAGGAACACCAGUGGCGAAGGCGGCUUGCUGGACUGAAACUGACGCUGAGGCUCGAAAGCGUGGGGAGCAAACAGG
This 253-nucleotide ribosomal RNA is filed under the name uncultured bacterium. RNAcentral describes it as "partial 16S ribosomal RNA". It matches the Rfam family "Bacterial small subunit ribosomal RNA", at positions 524 to 776 of the family's 1533-position model. The record is from RNAcentral.